This 68-nucleotide transfer RNA is filed under the name Marmota monax (woodchuck). Its description in RNAcentral is "tRNA.Leu". Lineage: Eukaryota; Metazoa; Chordata; Mammalia; Rodentia; Sciuridae. The record is from RNAcentral.
GUGGUGGCUCAGUGGCAGAGAACUUGCCUCAAACGUAUGAGGCACUGGGUUCGAUCCUCAGUACUACG